UACGAAGGGGGCUAGCGUUGCUCGGAAUCACUGGGCGUAAAGGGCGCGUAGGCGGCCAUUCAAGUCGGAGGUGAAAGCCCAGGGCUCAACCCUGGAAUUGCCUUCGAUACUGUCUGGCUAGAGACCGGAAGAGGUAAGUGGAACUGCGGGUGUAGAGGUGAAAUUCGUAGAUAUUCGCACGAACACCAGUGGCGAAGGCGGCUUACUGGUCCGGUUCUGACGCUGAGGCGCGAAAGCGUGGGGAGCAAACAGG
RNAcentral lists this ribosomal RNA (253 nucleotides) under uncultured bacterium. RNAcentral describes it as "partial 16S ribosomal RNA". It matches the Rfam family "Bacterial small subunit ribosomal RNA", at positions 524 to 776 of the family's 1533-position model. The record is from RNAcentral.